Molecule: long non-coding RNA, 332 nt
Organism: Hibiscus syriacus
Lineage: Eukaryota; Viridiplantae; Streptophyta; Magnoliopsida; Malvales; Malvaceae
Exons: 3
Source: RefSeq, a predicted model, not a curated record
GAAACUUCCCGUAAUUGGUAUUUAAAACAUCGAAUGCUUGUUUGGGUCGAAUCAUACCUGUUCCUUUUGCAUUUGAACAACAGAUAUGGAGGAGCGCCGAAGAUUCAUCUCUGCUUAUCUGGCAUCUUCUGGAAAUGAACUCAUUGAUGCCAAAGUGGAGCAGCUACUCAUCGAUGCCGAGAAAUACACUCUUGCUAAUCGUUUGUUUUGGGGCUUAUGGGGAAUCAUAUCGGGUCAUGUAAGCAAGAUAGACUUCGACUAGUUGGAGUAUGCGCGGCAGAGGAUUCAACAAUACUGGUUAACAAAUCCCUUGCUCUUGGGUUCCUGACUUU